AUUGAACGCUGGCGGCAUGCUUUACACAUGCAAGUCGAACGGCAGCGCGGGCUUCGGCCUGGCGGCGAGUGGCGAACGGGUGAGUAAUACAUCGGAACGUGCCCAGUAGUGGGGGAUAGCUCGGCGAAAGCCGGAUUAAUACCGCAUACGACCUGAGGGCGAAAGCGGGGGAUCUUCGGACCUCGCGCUAUUGCAGCGGCCGAUGGCAGAUUAGCUAGUUGGUGGGGUAAAGGCCUACCAAGGCGACGAUCCGUAGCUGGUCUGAGAGGACGACCAGCCACACUGGGACUGAGACACGGCCCAGACUCCUACGGGAGGCAGCAGUGGGGAAUUUUGGACAAUGGGCGAAAGCCUGAUCCAGCAAUGCCGCGUGUGUGAUGAAGGCCUUCGGGUUGUAAAGCACUUUUGGCGGGAACGAAAGGGACUGUGCCAAUACCACGGUGCGAUGACGGUACCCGAAGAAUAAGCACCGGCUAACUACGUG
RNAcentral lists this ribosomal RNA (484 nucleotides) under uncultured bacterium. Its description in RNAcentral is "partial 16S ribosomal RNA". It matches the Rfam family "Bacterial small subunit ribosomal RNA", at positions 29 to 507 of the family's 1533-position model. The record is from RNAcentral.